UACGUAGGAUCCGAGCAUUAUCCGGAGUGACUGGGUGUAAAGAGUUGCGUAGGUGGCAUAGUAAGUAGCUAGUGAAAUCUGGUGGCUCAACCAUUCAGACUAUUAGCUAAACUGCUAAGCUCGAGACCGUUAGGGGUAACUGGAAUUUCUAGUGUAGGAGUGAAAUCCGUAGAUAUUAGAAGGAACACCGAUAGCGUAGGCAGGUUACUGGGACGGUUCUGACACUAAGGCACGAAAGCGUAGGGAGCAAACGGG
RNAcentral lists this ribosomal RNA (255 nucleotides) under uncultured bacterium. RNAcentral's name for it is "partial 16S ribosomal RNA". It matches the Rfam family "Bacterial small subunit ribosomal RNA", at positions 524 to 776 of the family's 1533-position model. The record is from RNAcentral.